AAUGCCACCAUGAACUGCAGUUACAAAACUAGUAUAAACAAUUUACAGUGGUAUAGACAAAAUUCAGGUAGAGGCCUUGUCCACCUAAUUUUAAUACGUUCAAAUGAAAGAGAGAAACACAGUGGAAGAUUAAGAGUCACGCUUGACACUUCCAAGAAAAGCAGUUCCUUGUUGAUCACGGCUUCCCGGGCAGCAGACACUGCUUCUUACUUCUGUGCUACGGACGCACAAAGCCAAGGAAAUCUCAUCUUUGGAAAAGGCACUAAACUCUCUGUUAAACCAAGUAAGUGUUGGGGAUUCAAA
This 303-nucleotide long non-coding RNA is filed under the name Homo sapiens (human). RNAcentral describes it as "non-protein coding lnc-ABHD4-12:17". Lineage: Eukaryota; Metazoa; Chordata; Mammalia; Primates; Hominidae. The record is from RNAcentral.